CACCACAACACUCAAAUCUUUUUCAGUCUCAGCUUCCCAGGAUAGAGUCCCCCGUCCUAAAGUAUCAAAGAGAGCACUGCCGCGGACCUCCGUCUGCAGCCAAGGACGGUUGAGAAGAAACUGAGGGGACAGUCAGGGAGCGCAUGCUACAGGAGGUGCCAAUGGCUGCACAAGACGACUCCUGUGCGUGCCCUUCCCCCGACCAAGUGCUGCUACAAGAAAUCUCCAAUCUCUGGUGCAUGGACGCACCGAAACCUAGAGUGGAGCACCCACAGAGACACCACUCAAAGAAGAACCUUCCUUCUCCCAUUCCCUGGACACUCUUCAAGCCACCCCUCCCAUGCCCCACUGAAUUUUACCAGUGUUUUAAAAGGGGGUGAAAGCG
This is a long non-coding RNA of Mauremys reevesii (Reeves's turtle), 385 nucleotides long. RefSeq lists it as uncharacterized. Lineage: Eukaryota; Metazoa; Chordata; Testudines; Geoemydidae. The record is from RefSeq and is a predicted model, not a curated record. The transcript is spliced from 2 exons.